GCCCAUACCAAUGUGCACGCUGGUGCGUAAGAAGGCACGGCACUCUGCCGUGCCAAGCGGCACGGUAGAGGAGCCGGUUCCCAUCUUGUCCGCCGCAUCACGCCCCACCCGAUCCACCGCACCACCGUACCUCACCCCAGCCACCUUCCUCCGCCGCCCCGCCACCGCAACCCGCAAGCCUGACCACCCCGUCCUCCUUCUGCCAGCGCGCCCCCCAUCUUCUCCCGUUGCGCGGCCCGGCCCACCUUCUCACCACCGCCAGGCCAGACGCGCGCCGGAACGCUGCCCCUGGAUCCGUGCGACCAACGACGACCUCUCCUGCUCGAUUCCAGCGGCCAGUGCCCUGUCCGCCGCGCCACAUGAAUGGAUCUGGCCGCCGUGGAAUGGAUCUGACCACCCCCAGGCAUCACGCAAAUCCAGGGAAGUCGAGGGCCUCCUCACUUCUAGCAGCUCCCUACGACCGUGCGCCUAGGGACGCAGGGGAGUUUGGUGGCCUCCUGUCGAGUUCCAGCACGAGAAUACUACCCCGACCAGUCGUCGGAGACUGUUCUUCCCGCAGCUCCCUUCUGGCACAAGCGCAGCUCAGAUGCGCGUGGUAUUGCGGUUCGAAUCGCGAAAAGGAAAAAAGCCGGCGCCUGUUAGUGUUGUCCUCGGCAUCCAGCGCCGGCGCCGGCUGCACUCCUCGACCCUCCUUACCUCCUCCCUCCAACAACGACAUCGAGGUACAGUUUGACAGGGAGGCCAUUUCAGUUCGGUGGUUUUUGGUUUCAGAUUUUGCCGCUGCAGUGCGCGCGUGCACUUCAAACUGGUGUGUGUCCUGGUGCAGUUUGGUACAUUUUGCCCAUCAGCUUGGUUGUGUGUGUGUUGCGGUGCAGUGCACACCGUUUCAGGCAAAAAGGAAAAUGAUGUGUGCUGCGGUAUGGGCGUGAUCUAGCCUCCAUAAAGCAAUUCCAAAGUUCUUUUUUUGCUUUUUUAGAAUUUGGAUGUACAAUUUUGAUGCAUUUCAGUGCAGUGCAAUGUCGUGGAGUGUGGGCGUGUGUGGCAUGCAGCUCGCCGGACGUGUGAGCUACAACCCUCACAUGCAGCUCUCUCCUGCUCCUUGUUCGCCGGCGGCGGGAGACAAAUGGACUGAAUUAGGGAUAGCUGGCAUCAUACUUUUUUGAAGUACUUCAACUAAUCAACUUGAUGUAUGUUUCAGUUUAACCAUUUUAUGUGGUUCACUCGUGGCA
This is a long non-coding RNA of Triticum dicoccoides, 1229 nucleotides long. RefSeq lists it as uncharacterized. The transcript is spliced from 2 exons. NCBI's taxonomy places the organism in Eukaryota, Viridiplantae, Streptophyta, Magnoliopsida, Poales, Poaceae. The record is from RefSeq and is a predicted model, not a curated record.